AGAUUAAGUUAUUAAGGGCGCACGGUGGAUGCCUUGGCACUAGAAGCCGAUGAAGGACGUUACUAACGACGAUAUGCUUUGGAGAGCUGUAAGUAAGCUUUGAUCCAGAGAUUUCCGAAUGGGGAAACCCAGCAUGAGUUAUGUCAUGUUAUCGAUAUGUGAAUACAUAGCAUAUCAGAAGGCACACCCGGAGAACUGAAACAUCUUAGUACCCGGAGGAAGAGAAAGAAAAUUCGAUUCCCUUAGUAGCGGCGAGCGAAACGGGAAGAGCCCAAACCAACAAGCUUGCUUGUUGGGGUUGUAGGACACUCUAUACGGAGUUACAAAGGACGACAUUAGACGAAUCAUCUGGAAAGAUGAAUCAAAGAAGGUAAUAAUCCUGUAGUCGAAAAUGUUGUCUCUCUUGAGUGGAUCCUGAGUACGACGGAGCACGUGAAAUUCCGUCGGAAUCUGGGAGGACCAUCUCCUAAGGCUAAAUACUCUCUAGUGACCGAUAGUGAACCAGUACCGUGAGGGAAAGGUGAAAAGCACCCCGGAAGGGGAGUGAAA
This is a ribosomal RNA of 549 nucleotides. It matches the Rfam family "Bacterial large subunit ribosomal RNA", at positions 1 to 543 of the family's 2925-position model.